Molecule: ribosomal RNA, 203 nt
Filed under: uncultured Pseudomonas sp.
Lineage: Bacteria; Pseudomonadati; Pseudomonadota; Gammaproteobacteria; Pseudomonadales; Pseudomonadaceae
Description: partial 16S ribosomal RNA
Rfam family: Bacterial small subunit ribosomal RNA
Source: RNAcentral
UGACGUCAAGUCAUCAUGGCCCUUACGGCCUGGGCUACACACGUGCUACAAUGGUCGGUCAAAGGGUUGCCAAGCCGCGAGGUGGAGCUAAUCCCAUAAAACCGAUCGUAGUCCGGAUCGCAGCUGCAACUCGACUGCGUGAAGUCGGAAUCGCUAGUAAUCGUGAAUCAGAAUGCCCACGGUCCGAAUACGUUCCGGGCCUU